This 349-nucleotide unclassified non-coding RNA is filed under the name soil metagenome. RNAcentral describes it as "partial contains 5.8S ribosomal RNA, internal transcribed spacer 2, and large subunit ribosomal RNA". The stretch from base 1 to 120 matches the Rfam family "5.8S ribosomal RNA", at positions 35 to 154 of the family's 154-position model. The record is from RNAcentral.
GAUGAAGAACGCAGCGAAAUGCGAUACGUAAUGUGAAUUGCAGAAUUCAGUGAAUCAUCGAGUCUUUGAACGCACAUUGCGCCCCCUGGUAUUCCGGGGGGCAUGCCUGUCCGAGCGUCAUUGCUGCCCUCAAGCACGGCUUGUGUGUUGGGCCUCCGCCCCCCGGCUCCCGGGGGGCGGGCCCGAAAGGCAGCGGCGGCACCGCGUCCGGUCCUCGAGCGUAUGGGGCUUCGUCACCCGCUCCGUAGGCCCGGCCGGCGCCCGCCGGCGACCCCCCUCAAUCUUUCCAGGUUGACCUCGGAUCAGGUAGGGAUACCCGCUGAACUUAAGCAUAUUAAUAAGCGGAGGA